ACCCCUACCUCACUCAAACUACCUCCAAACCCCAAAUUUCUCCACAUUUUACCUCUUGUCUUUGAAGUAAAUGAUUAAUUUCUUUCCCAUUUUGCUCUUCACUGGCAGAAGUGGAGAUCUGGCACAUUUUUUUCCCAUUUUCCUCUUCAACGGAGACUGGCGGUGAACUGAGUAUCGCCAUGUACAGCACUAGAUUGUUGCUCCGC
RNAcentral lists this long non-coding RNA (206 nucleotides) under Olea europaea (common olive). Its description in RNAcentral is "long non-coding RNA (OEUR_LNC011739)". The record is from RNAcentral. Lineage: Eukaryota; Viridiplantae; Streptophyta; Magnoliopsida; Lamiales; Oleaceae.